This is a long non-coding RNA of Triplophysa dalaica, 1010 nucleotides long. RefSeq lists it as uncharacterized. The transcript is spliced from 3 exons. NCBI's taxonomy places the organism in Eukaryota, Metazoa, Chordata, Actinopteri, Cypriniformes, Nemacheilidae. The record is from RefSeq and is a predicted model, not a curated record.
CCUGUCAGUAUGUCCAAGUUUGUGCGUUCUAUUUUGCCAUGCACUCAAUAGUACGUACUAUUCCAACAAAAAGACAGUAACUUACCUACUAUUAGGACUAGUAGGCGAAUAGUAGGUGUCGUCUAUAACCAUUUCCAAGUCUCACCAGGCUGAAAGAAAAGAAAUGGAUUUUAUGUUCUCUUUAAAGAACUUCCUCAGAGUAAAAAAAGCCAUGUGUAUCUGACAUCCAACUGGUCUCUUAGACUUUAGGAUUAAUCAAAUAAUGAGAGGGAACAACAACUAUAAAACAGGGGUCCAAGUUCUACAUCCAAUGGAAAAUAUCAAUUCCUUCCAGGCGUUUUGGUCCAACUCUGUCGGAAAAAAACAACGAAAGAAAAUGAAAAGACAAAAGAGAGGGCGAGAGAAAGCGAACUGCUUCACAACCAGCACCCACCUGAAGACAUCAGAGUCAGGCAGUCGUUCAAUGAUAUAAUCUUUGUUGAUUCCAAUAACUGCUUUCUGUUUAUGAUAGAUUGUGUGCAUAAUUAUGCAUGGCGUGUGUGUUUUUGGAUGACAUAGAUUGCUAUCUCAGCUUGAUACUAUAAGACAUCCAUAAGAUAUUUUUAGGAUGAGUUCUCUGAACACUACCAAUCUACAGUAAGUCCCCUGUAAUCCACUUAAACAGUUAUUAUCUGUAAUUGUACCUCAAUUUAAGAAAAUGUAUAAUCAGUUGAUUCAAAUAUUUACCUUGCCUUUAAUCUGAUAAUGUGUUUUGCUAUCAAAUGCAAACACUUUAGACAAGAUCAUUACAAUGUAAUCUGUUUGUCAUUAUUCAUAUAAAAUAGGCCUACUGGAAAAAACCCACCACGCAAAAGUUCAGGUGUUACAUAUAUUUCCAUAUUGCGAUACAUAUGGUUCUACUAUACUAUAAUUUGAACUGAUAUUCGCCAUCUCCAUAAUCUUUCUUACCCAAGAAUCAAAGAACAUCCUAAUUGCAGCUAUUCGUAAGGCGCGUUUGAUGUAAUCUUUUG